ACUCAUUGGACCCGGGGGCGGUACCCGGCGCCUCCACCAAAGCGCGGCGCGUAAAAACUGCGUUUUGGUGGGGGCGAAAUAGGAUCGACAAGGGCGUAAAGAUUGCUUUUUUACUCGGUAUGGUACCACCGUCAUCGGACCAGAUUAGUAGUUGCAAAUGACAACUAUGCGGAAGCAAGUCUCGCUGCUUAAUGCGGUGUGAAUGUUUCGAACUGAGCCUUAAAUCGUCGCAGAUUUAAGCGGGGUCCGGAGG
RNAcentral lists this transfer-messenger RNA (253 nucleotides) under Bartonella sp. RNAcentral's name for it is "partial ssrA". It matches the Rfam family "Alphaproteobacteria transfer-messenger RNA", at positions 81 to 331 of the family's 355-position model. From Rfam's summary of the family: Bacterial tmRNA, also known as 10Sa RNA or SsrA, is named for its dual tRNA and mRNA-like properties. Its role is to liberate the mRNA from a stalled ribosome. To accomplish this part of the tmRNA is used as a reading frame that ends in a translation stop signal. The record is from RNAcentral. Lineage: Bacteria; Pseudomonadati; Pseudomonadota; Alphaproteobacteria; Hyphomicrobiales; Bartonellaceae.